Molecule: ribosomal RNA, 253 nt
Filed under: uncultured bacterium
Lineage: Bacteria
Description: partial 16S ribosomal RNA
Rfam family: Bacterial small subunit ribosomal RNA
Source: RNAcentral
UACGUAGGGGGCAAGCGUUGUCCGGAAUCAUUGGGCGUAAAGAGCUUGUAGGCGGUUUGUCGCGUCUGCCGUGAAAAUCCGGGGCUCAACCCCGGACUUGCGGUGGGUACGGGCAGACUAGAGUGUGGUAGGGGAGACUGGAAUUCCUGGUGUAGCGGUUAAAUGCGCAGAUAUCAGGAGGAACACCGAUGGCGAAGGCAGGUCUCUGGGCCACUACUGACGCUGAGAAGCGAAAGCGUGGGGAGCGAACAGG